RNAcentral lists this ribosomal RNA (392 nucleotides) under uncultured bacterium. RNAcentral describes it as "partial 16S ribosomal RNA". It matches the Rfam family "Bacterial small subunit ribosomal RNA", at positions 29 to 412 of the family's 1533-position model. The record is from RNAcentral.
AACGAACGCUGGCGGCGCGCUUAACACAUGCAAGUCGAACGAGAAGCUGUAGCAAUACAGUUGUACAGUGGCGAACGGGUGAGGAAUACAUGGGUAACCUACCCUCGAGUGGGGAAUAACCAGCCGAAAGGCUGGCUAAUACCGCGUACGCUUCCCAAUCUGCGGGUUGGGAAGGAAAGCUCUACCGUGGGUAGAGCGCUCAAGGACGGGCUCAUGUCCUAUCAGCUUGUUGGAGGGUAACGGCCUACCAAGGCAACGACGGGUAGCCGGCCUGAGAGGGCGACCGGCCACACUGGGACUGAGACACGGCCCAGACUCCUACGGGAGGCAGCAGUGGGGAAUCUUGCGCAAUGGGCGAAAGCCUGACGCAGCGACGCCGCGUGAGGGAUGAC